Molecule: ribosomal RNA, 254 nt
Filed under: uncultured bacterium
Lineage: Bacteria
Description: partial 16S ribosomal RNA
Rfam family: Bacterial small subunit ribosomal RNA
Source: RNAcentral
UACGGGGGGAGCAAGCGUUGUUCGGAAUUACUGGGCGUAAAGGGCUCGUAGGCGGCCAACUAAGUCAGACGUGAAAUCCCUCGGCUUAACCGGGGAACUGCGUCUGAUACUGGAUGGCUUGAGUGUGGGAGAGGGAUGCGGAAUUCCAGGUGUAGCGGUGAAAUGCGUAGAUAUCUGGAGGAACACCGGUGGCGAAGGCGGCAUCCUGGACCACGACUGACGCUGAGUGAGCGAAAGCCAGGGGAGCAAACGGG